UGUUGUGUUAGAAGAUGUGACAUUGGCACGCACAGCUGGACUUCCUUGAAGUGGCCAGAGAGCCACGUUAGGGGAGCGUUCCCGCUGGCGGCCGCUAACGAGGCCAACGGGGGGGCCGGGCAGCAGGCAAGGGGCCGGGGUGGGCUCCUGUUAGCUGUUAGUUAGGUUUUGGAAAGUAUUGUGAGGGGUGCGGGGGGGGUUUGGCCACUUAUUUCUUCUUUUUUAAACAAAAGGGAAAUCACAGAAUAAGAUGUUCUUACUGCAAUUACCUCCCACGGUCCCGAUAAUGGUCUGUACAGUCUUAUAUGCCAGAGAAAUGAAGGCAAAACAUUUAAAAGUUGUUUGUUAAGAGGAUACCAGGGACAGUGAAAGCUGUGCCUCUCAAAAUGUGCUGCACAUGCAACAAUGAAUUAGGAUAAACGAGAGUUCACUUCAGUGUCACGUCAAAAACUGAGAAACUUAAUUUAAUUUGAAUGCACCAAUAUCAUAUUCACAAUUCAUUCCUCAUGACCAACACUGAAAACUGCAGCAGCUGAUUCAUGUCACACCGCAGCAAAAAAAAGCAUCCGGCGAUGCUUCAUUUACAGCAGCCGUAAAACUGUUGAGCCGCCUCGCCAGGAACAUUAUUCCCCCGGUGCCGAACAUGCAGCUUGCUGCAGACUAUUACCAAGUUACAAGCCCCUGUGAAUGUGCGGAUCUGAAAUAAAACCCUCAGUAAAACCGGCACGUAGCUUGCAGGGGAAAACAUGGCGGUGUGUUCAUGGCUCUUUCCGGGUGGACUUGGCGUCACGGCGGCCAUGAUAGAUGUUUUCUAUCCUCCGUGGAGUUACUGUGAGGAGUUUGAAAAUAAGAAGGUUAGUGAAUCUGUUAUUUGGUGUAACAUUUUUUUUCCCCAGAAACAACAACUUGAAAGAUGCGCUUCAGAGGCAGACAACAAAACAUGCUGAUAAGGACAAACGUAAGCUAAGCAUGUAGGCAAGCAUGUAAGCUAAGCAUGUAGGCUAAGCGCUAAGCAUGUAAGCUAAGCAUGUAGGCUAAGCAUGUAAGCUAAGCAUGUAGGCUAAGCAUGUAAGCUAAGCAUGUAAGAGGGUGACUUGGUGUUCUGUUUUCUUGAAUCAUUCAUUUGUAGGACGGCAGUUUCACACCGACGUCACGGUGGACGCUGGAGGUGGGAGGGAGG
Gasterosteus aculeatus aculeatus (three-spined stickleback) is the source of this 1180-nucleotide long non-coding RNA. The record is from Ensembl. NCBI's taxonomy places the organism in Eukaryota, Metazoa, Chordata, Actinopteri, Perciformes, Gasterosteidae.